CCUACGGGUGGCUGCAGUGAGGAAUAUUGGACAAUGGGGGCAACCCUGACCCAGCCAUGCCGCGUGAGUGAAGAAGGUCUUCGGAUUGUAAAGCUCUUUCAGACGUGACGAUGAUGACGGUAGCGUCUAAAGAAGCACCGGCCAACUUCGUGCCAGCAGCCGCCGUAUUACGAAGGGUGCGAGCGUUGUUCGGAAUUACUGGUCGUAAAGGGAGUGGAGGCGGAUAUGUAAGAUAGCGGUGAAAUGCCGGGGCUCAACCCCGGAACUGCCAUUAUGACUAUGUAUCUAGAGUAAUGGAGAGGAGAGCGGAAUACCCAGUGUAGCGGUGAAAUUCGUAGAGAUUUGGUAGAACACCGGUGGCGAAGGCGGCUAUCUGGCCAUUUACUGACGCUGAGGCUCGAAAGCAUGGGGAUCAAACAGGAUUAGAUACCCUUGUAGUC
RNAcentral lists this ribosomal RNA (440 nucleotides) under uncultured bacterium. Its description in RNAcentral is "partial 16S ribosomal RNA". It matches the Rfam family "Bacterial small subunit ribosomal RNA", at positions 338 to 795 of the family's 1533-position model. The record is from RNAcentral.